RNAcentral lists this non-coding RNA (29 nucleotides) under Rattus norvegicus (Norway rat). The record is from RNAcentral. Lineage: Eukaryota; Metazoa; Chordata; Mammalia; Rodentia; Muridae.
UGUCCUGUGGGACUAUGCUGCCAUGUUCU